GAUGAACGCUAGCUACAGGCUUAACACAUGCAAGUCGAGGGGAAACGACAUCGAAAGCUUGCUUUUGAUGGGCGUCGACCGGCGCACGGGAGAGUAACGCGUAUCCAACCUGCCCACCACCUGGGGAUAACCUUGCGAAAGUAAGACUAAUACCCAAUGAUAUCUCUAGAAGACAUCUGAAAGAGAUUAAAGAUUUAUCGGUGAUGGAUGGGGAUGCGUCUGAUUAGCUUGUUGGCGGGGUAACGGCCCACCAAGGCGACGAUCAGUAGGGGUUCUGAGAGGAAGGUCCCCCACAUUGGAACUGAGACACGGUCCAAACUCCUACGGGAGGCAGCAGUGAGGAAUAUUGGUCAAUGGGCGAGAGCCUGAACCAGCCAAGUAGCGUGCAGGAUGACGGCCCUAUGGGUUGUAAACUGCUUUUAUAAGGGAAUAAAGUGAGUCUCGUGAGACUUUUUGCAUGUACCUUAUGAAUAAGGACCGGCUAAUUCCGUGCCAGCAGCCGCAGUAA
Molecule: ribosomal RNA, 508 nt
Filed under: uncultured bacterium
Lineage: Bacteria
Description: partial 16S ribosomal RNA
Rfam family: Bacterial small subunit ribosomal RNA
Source: RNAcentral